This 253-nucleotide ribosomal RNA is filed under the name uncultured bacterium. RNAcentral describes it as "partial 16S ribosomal RNA". It matches the Rfam family "Bacterial small subunit ribosomal RNA", at positions 524 to 776 of the family's 1533-position model. The record is from RNAcentral.
UACGUAGGGGGCAAGCGUUGUCCGGAAUCAUUGGGCGUAAAGAGCGUGUAGGCGGCCCGAUAAGUCCGCUGUGAAAGUCCAGGGCUCAACCCUGGAAUGCCAGUGGAAACUGUCGGGCUGGAGUCCGGAAGAGGCAAGUGGAAUUCCCGGUGUAGCGGUGAAAUGCGCAGAUAUCGGGAGGAACACCAAUGGCGAAGGCAGCUUGCUGGGACGGUACUGACGCUGAGGCGCGAAAGCGUGGGGAGCAAACAGG